Molecule: ribosomal RNA, 319 nt
Filed under: uncultured bacterium
Lineage: Bacteria
Description: bacterial SSU rRNA
Rfam family: Bacterial small subunit ribosomal RNA
Source: RNAcentral
AUUGAACGCUGGCGGCGUGCCUAACACAUGCAAGUCGAGCGGUAACAGGUGUAGCAAUACAUGCUGACGAGCGGCGGACGGGUGAGUAACGCUUGGGAAUCUGCCUAUUAGUGGGGGACAACCCGGGGAAACUCGGGCUAAUACCGCAUACGCACUACGGUGGAAAGCCGGGGACCGCAAGGCCUGGCGCUAACAGAUGAGCCCAAGUCGGAUUAGCUAGUUGGUAGGUAACGCCACCAAGGCGACGAUCCGUAACUGGUCUGAGAGGACGACCAGUCACACCGGACUGAGACACGGUCCGGACUCCUACGGGAGGCAG